AACGAACGCUGGCGGCAUGCCUAACACAUGCAAGUCGAACGAGAUCUUCGGGUCUAGUGGCGCACGGGUGCGUAACGCGUGGGAAUCUGCCCUUUGGUUCGGAAUAACAGUUGGAAACGACUGCUAAUACCGGAUGAUGACGAAAGUCCAAAGAUUUAUCGCCAGAGGAUGAGCCCGCGUAGGAUUAGCUAGUUGGUGCGGUAAAGGCGCACCAAGGCGACGAUCCUUAGCUGGUCUGAGAGGAUGAUCAGCCACACUGGGACUGAGACACGGCCCAGACUCCUACGGGAUGCAGCCGUGGGGUAUAUUGGACAAUGGGCGAAAGCCUGAUCCAGCAAUGCCGCGUGAGUGAUGAAGGCCUUAGGGUUGUAAAGCUCUUUUACCCGGGAUGAUAAUGACAGUACCGGGAGAAUAAGCUCCGGCUAACUCCGUGCCAGCCGCCGCAGUAA
RNAcentral lists this ribosomal RNA (449 nucleotides) under uncultured bacterium. Its description in RNAcentral is "partial 16S ribosomal RNA". It matches the Rfam family "Bacterial small subunit ribosomal RNA", at positions 29 to 523 of the family's 1533-position model. The record is from RNAcentral.